This 254-nucleotide ribosomal RNA is filed under the name uncultured Aminobacterium sp. RNAcentral's name for it is "partial 16S ribosomal RNA". It matches the Rfam family "Bacterial small subunit ribosomal RNA", at positions 796 to 1041 of the family's 1533-position model. The record is from RNAcentral. Lineage: Bacteria; Thermotogati; Synergistota; Synergistia; Synergistales; Aminobacteriaceae.
CUGGCCGUAAACGAUGAAUGCUAGGUGUGGGUGUCGAGAGGCAUCCGUGCCGGAGUUAACGCGAUAAGCAUUCCGCCUGGGGAGUACGGUCGCAAGAUUGAAACUCAAAGGAAUUGACGGGGGCCCGCACAAGCGGUGGAGCACGUGGUUUAAUUCGAUGCAAACCGAAGAACCUUACCUAGGUUUGACAUGUACGUGGUACGGAUCUGAAAGGAGAAGGACCUUGCCUUCGGGUAUGGAGCGUACACAGGUGC